UGGGAACAUAGUUUCAAUUUGGUAAAAACGUAUGUUUUGCAAACAUAAAAUUACCAGUUCAAGUCUGGUUGUUUCCAG
This 78-nucleotide transfer RNA is filed under the name Synarthrophyton chejuense. RNAcentral describes it as "tRNA-Ala". It matches the Rfam family "tRNA". Rfam says of the family: Transfer RNA (tRNA) molecules are approximately 80 nucleotides in length. Lineage: Eukaryota; Rhodophyta; Florideophyceae; Hapalidiales; Hapalidiaceae. The record is from RNAcentral.